GUUUUGGAUUGUAGCUUUAUCCUGAGGAGUUCAUUUGGGUAUUUGAUAAUUAAAUACUGAGAAAGAAGUGAGACUACUAGCACACGAAAAGGAAAUCACGGAAAUGGUGCAUGUGUAGUCUCAUUGAUUUCUGAAGUGCUUUCACUUAGUGGGUGACAUUCCUGACAGUUUGAUUACUUGGAAUUUGAGGUGAAAGUGCCCAGGCAAAGAGAUCAAGUCAAGAUAGAGAAAAAUGAGGAGCACGUUAGAAUAAGAAAAUUGGACUUUUUGUGAAGAACACAAUUGCUUGUUCAUAUGUUGCUGAAAUGCAAAGAGACCUCCAGGAUGCACCAAAGAAAGGGACUAAGUAGAGAGCAGGAAGAUAGAUGAAGCUUAAAUUAUCAUCAGCAGCACUGUUUGUCAAGUAGGGUAUGCACGUCUGAGGGAGGCUGCGUGUGGCUGCUGCUGCUGACAGAGCCCAGGCAGCGUGCUCUGUGCGUGCACCCCUUCCGGAGGGACCCUGUGAAAGGGAAGUCCUCAGGCCUGGAGGAGGACAAGACUGAUGCUAGCCUCUUGGCACCGAAGUCCACCAGGACUGAAGCACAUUGACCUGCUGUGGCUGUGCAGAAAAGCUGAACUACUCAGACCCUCACUGCUCCAUGGGGCUGCUUGUGUGGUUCGUUCCAGGGGCUCACAAGAAGCAAAACCUCUCACCAGUCAUGGGAAAGGGACAUCAAUUUUGCAGUGAAUACACUUUCAGGCUUUAUAUCUUUUCACACCAGUGGACAGUCCAACAUGCCUUAAGUGAUUGUUCAGAACACUUUAUAAAAAGAAAAAUAAAUCAGCUGACUGAAAUUUUACUGAGAGGCAUAGAGAGAAGAAAACCAAACAAAGUUAGCCGUAUCAGAGGGAAGCAAGUUCAUUUUUCCCCACUAAAGAACUAUCUCCCAGCUCACACCUGGUGGAAAGAUUGUGAGUUUCAGCGCUGCAGAUGAAUGUUUCUGGCCCGGAAUGAUUUCACCUAUCUGAAAAGGGAGUUAAGUGUUUGUCAAUUUUGUCUAAACUGCCAGGUUUUCCUAGAAAUAGUGUUCCAGGUUUUCAUAAGCCUGGAGACAUUUUUGUCAUUUCAACCUCGUUUAGUUUAUUAUAUCCUGCCAGCCAUGUCUAGAUAAACUGUAAUGAAGGCUGCUGCCUCCAUUAUAAACCCACAUCUACUCUAUCAACAAGCUUUCAGUACCAUGACCAUUAUAAAAACUCUAAAAUUUGAUCUGCCAUUGAUGAUAGGCAAGUUUCAAUUUGUGGCUACUAGCCUGCACAAAAUGAUCUACAAAUGGCACGUUGCAGGCUGUUAUUUUGUAUCCUGCAGGAUGGUGUGAAAGUCCUCUCCCUUCCCUUCAAGGUGAAGGUCAUUUCACCAGAUCAGAAAUUGUUAUUGCUGUAACUGACAUGGGGAACUAUACCAGAAGCUUAAUUUAAAAUAAAAAUAGAGGCAGUAGAAUAAUGCUGCA
This 1487-nucleotide long non-coding RNA is filed under the name Anser brachyrhynchus (Pink-footed goose). Its description in RNAcentral is "lncRNA (ENSABRG00000002857.1)". The record is from RNAcentral. Lineage: Eukaryota; Metazoa; Chordata; Aves; Anseriformes; Anatidae.